RNAcentral lists this ribosomal RNA (253 nucleotides) under uncultured bacterium. Its description in RNAcentral is "partial 16S ribosomal RNA". It matches the Rfam family "Bacterial small subunit ribosomal RNA", at positions 524 to 776 of the family's 1533-position model. The record is from RNAcentral.
UACAGAGGGUGCGAGCGUUGUCCGGAAUCACUGGGCGUAAAGGGCGCGUAGGCGGGCUGUCAAGUCUGGGGUGAAAUGCCGCGGCUCAACCGUGGAACUGCCUCAGAUACUGACGGCCUCGAGGAAGGUAGGGGCAUGCGGAACUGUAGGUGGAGCGGUGAAAUGCGUUGAUAUCUACAGGAACUCCGGUGGCGAAAGCGGCGUGCUGGACCUUUUCUGACGCUGAGGCGCGAAAGCUAGGGGAGCAAACGGG